UAUUAAAAAAUUUAUCCAAUUUUUACUGUUAAAAACUGACAUUGCUGAUAAGAUAACCAAACAUGUGGCUCAUUCUGACAUACAAGAUCAAUUUUUAACAGUAAAAAUGAAUAAAUUUUUAACA
Molecule: microRNA precursor, 124 nt
Filed under: Gossypium barbadense (sea-island cotton)
Lineage: Eukaryota; Viridiplantae; Streptophyta; Magnoliopsida; Malvales; Malvaceae
Also listed under: 2 other names
Description: MIR7502 microRNA precursor family
Rfam family: MIR7502 microRNA precursor family
Source: Rfam by way of RNAcentral